CCUACGGGUGGCAGCAGUGGGGGAUAUUGCACAAUGGAGGAAACUCUGAUGCAGCGACGCCGCGUGAGGGAAGACGGUCCUCGGAUUGUAAACCUCUGUCUGUGGGGAAGAAAAUGACGGUACCCAAAGAGGAAGCUCCGGCUAACGACGUGCCAGCAGCCGCGGUAAUACGCAGGGAGCGAGGGUUGUCCGGAAUUACUGGGUGUAAAGGGAGCGUAGGCGGGCGAGAAAGUUGCAUGUUAAAUCUACCGGCUUAACUGGUAGCUGCGUUCAAAACUUCUUGUCUUGAGUGAAGUAGAGGCAGGCGGAAUUCCUAGUGUAGCGGUGACAUGCUUAGAUAUUAGGCGGAACCCCAGUGGCGAAGGCGGCCUGCUGGGCUUUACCUGACGCUGAGGCUCGAAAGCGUGGGGAGCAAACAGGAUUAGAUACCCUUGUAGUC
RNAcentral lists this ribosomal RNA (439 nucleotides) under uncultured bacterium. Its description in RNAcentral is "partial 16S ribosomal RNA". It matches the Rfam family "Bacterial small subunit ribosomal RNA", at positions 338 to 795 of the family's 1533-position model. The record is from RNAcentral.